This 250-nucleotide long non-coding RNA is filed under the name Solanum tuberosum (potato). RNAcentral's name for it is "long non-coding RNA (STUB_LNC008896)". The record is from RNAcentral. Lineage: Eukaryota; Viridiplantae; Streptophyta; Magnoliopsida; Solanales; Solanaceae.
UUUUAUUUCCGUCAGCCCCUCUCUAAAUUUCAAAGAUUGUAGACUUUGGGUUAGAUUUUGUUGACUUUGGCUUAGAUAAAAUCUCACCCAAAUCUAAUCCAAAUCGGAGGAUAUCACAUCGAAUCCAGAUUUUUGGAGGUAUGUUCUUCUCUUACUCGUUUUCUCCUUCCAUUCUCUCCAAUCAAUCUCUCAUCUCCCGUUCAAACGGCUAUUUGAAUUCAAACCUUUAUUUUUUAUUUUUGCUAUAAAU